RNAcentral lists this ribosomal RNA (21 nucleotides) under Yersinia pestis PY-59. RNAcentral describes it as "partial 23S ribosomal RNA". The record is from RNAcentral. Lineage: Bacteria; Pseudomonadati; Pseudomonadota; Gammaproteobacteria; Enterobacterales; Yersiniaceae.
AACCUGCGGUUGGAUCACCUC